ACACUUCCAUCCUAUGGGACAGGGCAGAGAAAAUUGCAUGUGUGCAUGGAAUUAAGCAGGAUCCACAUUUCAGGAGGCAGCUGGCCAGAGUAUCUUCAGUGGAAUGCUAAUUCAAGGUUCCAGUUCUGGUAUUACUUAACAUCACCUAUCACACUAAAUGGGAAUCUCCAGCAUGUUAUUUGGAGGACUAUGGCACUAGUGAAGUGUGAAGAAAGAGGAAAGCUGCUGUUCAUGGCAGUGUGAUCCCUCCCGAGCUGCCACAUCACAACGGCCAUGCUGCAAGGGAUUCCUGGCAGAUGGAAGACCACAUCUUGUGAUGUUCAGCAGCCACUGAGGUACACCAUAGGAUAAUGAAAAACAUGAAGCGUGGUGUGCAGCUACAUCCUUUAUCUUGUCUGAGAGCUGCUGCUAGGACUGGACCCGAUGCCUCCAUCCAGAGCUGCUUUCCAUUGCAUCUAGUCAUCAGACACGCUCAGAUGUCCAUUGGAUCAAUAAGCAGAUGUGAUCCACUCUGAAACUCUCUCAUCUCUGACAAAAAGGAAACAGGAAUACGUGUCUGGGGGCAGAAGACAACUAUUUCAACAACAGUUCACCCUCAGAUUGUAUGAGUUGUGCCCUGCUGCAACUGCUGGUGAACCAGGAGUGCUGCAGUGAAAAUGGAGCUUAAGACAUUCAUGAAUCUUCUUUUUAAAGCACCUGCGGCAGUGUUGGCAGAUAAUACCUCAAUAAUUCAUGAAUUCCUGUUCUAUUACAGAUGUGCUUUUGUAUUGUGGGGUUUGGUUUUUUUUGACUGAAAAACUGUAUCUAAAAUCUCAGCCAAAUAGUCUUUGCUGCAGAAGCAUCUAUACCAGGUUUUUACUGAAUGUAUUACUACAGAUGGAUAGAGGAGGAAGAAAAGAACCCAUUAAUUUCUUUUUCAGGUGGAAGUUCCCUUGAAAUUCUCCUUGCCAGCAGUAGCUUCUCAAAUGAUGAGAAGUAGCUACCGAUCAGAAGUCUCAAGAACCACAAAAGAUUAACUCCUGCCACAGCAAUUAGGCAAAAGAGAAUGUAUGAGGGCACAUUCCUUGAUCCUCCAAGAAUCCAAGCUGGGCAAUGCUGCUCUUUGCACUCUGUCUUCCCACAGCAGGCCAUAGGGUUUGCUUUAAAGACCAUCAUCCUGAAGCCAACACACAUAAAAGAGAUAUGCAUGCUUUGCUUUCUUUUUCAUGUGCUCCUGUUUAUGAGGCCAUACUUCCAAUAACUACAGAGUAAGUCUACAGAGUCUGAACUCGUGUUUUGCCUUUUUCAACUUUCUGUUAUUAGUCUUGGGAUAAAUGGGGUUAAAGAAACUUUGUAGCACCUAAGAGGCUAAUGAAAGACUGACUGCAGGAAAAAUCCAUGCUUUGGCCACUGUUUUAAUGACAUCUGAAAUUUCAUAUGACCACAAAAAUGUGGAAGGAGACACACCGUCACCCGGCACGCUCAGCAUGGUCGUUGCCACAGCAAGCUGCAAUACAGCAGCUCUCACUGAAUGGAAAGGGGA
This is a long non-coding RNA of Pezoporus occidentalis (night parrot), 1522 nucleotides long. RefSeq lists it as uncharacterized. The transcript has 3 exons. The record is from RefSeq and is a predicted model, not a curated record. Lineage: Eukaryota; Metazoa; Chordata; Aves; Psittaciformes; Psittacidae.